UACAGAGAGUGCAAGCGUUAAUCGGAAUUACUGGGCGUAAAGCGCACGUAGGUGGAUUAUUAAGUCAGAUGUGAAAGCCCCGGGCUUAACCUGGGAACUGCAUCUGAUACUGAUUAUCUUGAGUAUAGUAGAGGGAAGUGGAAUUUCCGGUGUAGCGGUGAAAUGCGUAGAUAUCGGAAGGAACACCAGUGGCGAAAGCGGCUUCCUGGACUAAUACUGACACUAAGGUGCGAAAGCGUGGGGAGCAAACAGG
This 253-nucleotide ribosomal RNA is filed under the name uncultured bacterium. Its description in RNAcentral is "partial 16S ribosomal RNA". It matches the Rfam family "Bacterial small subunit ribosomal RNA", at positions 524 to 776 of the family's 1533-position model. The record is from RNAcentral.